AGAACAAAUAAUUAUGCACAAAAAAAGUAAAUACAAAUAUAGCUGGAUACACCCACAGACCUUCCCACCCAUAAGUGAGCCGUGCCAUAGAGGAGGUAACACCAGGUCUUAUAUAACGUACGUGUGGUGUAUCAUCCAAUUAUUUUGUCAUUCAUCGCUUCUCCUUCCAAUACCAGAACAGUGAUGGCAGCAGCAGGUUUGCCUAGAAGCAAAGAAGUGAGUGGGAUCACAGUCACCAAAGGCUUAUUCAUCAUUUUCACUCUGCUGUAUCCAGCUAACCUUUCAAAUUCACUGAUAGAUGAGGAUCAACUGGAGGAACUGAGAGAAAAUGUUGAGAAACUACAGGAAGAAGUACUGAGAAAGAAGGCUGAAAACAAGCUAGAUAGAAUUUAUACUCCACUAAUCUAUGAUGAUGCUACGCGCUUAAUAGACCAUCUAUUUAAAAUGAGAAAUACAGUGGAAGAGUUUAAACUGCUCACGCCAUUGAGGCAUUUCAUGGAUGACCUAAAGAAGCUCAUGGAUGCUACCAAGAAGUACAAAGGCAAACACCUUGAGUUAAAAGCUGCAGAACUCAAGGACAAUGAAGAGAAACUAAGUGGAAUUAUGAAGUGGUUAAUAUUACUAGAGGGGCAUAAAGAUGAACUGUAACAUAUUAGUCAUUGUCUGUCUCUUUCGCUGAUUCCACUGUAUUCAUAAAGCUUCUCUUCCAUAAUGUGCAGAUUCAGUGUGAAGUUUUUCACUCUCAUUAUUAUAACAUUGUUAUAAUUUGUUGUAUUAAGUAGUAUCAGUAAAGCUGACAGUUAAUAAUAAUGUAUUGGAAAAAUAAACCCUGUCUGCAAAUAAAGCUCAUGUUUGAUAAUCAACAAUUUGUCCAAUGCUUACUCACUGAUAAAAUAUAUCAUAUAUCAUAAGUGUAGCACACCAGUCAAUUAGUCACAUGAUGAAGGCUAACC
RNAcentral lists this long non-coding RNA (953 nucleotides) under Oreochromis niloticus (Nile tilapia). RNAcentral's name for it is "lncRNA (ENSONIG00000037257.1)". Lineage: Eukaryota; Metazoa; Chordata; Actinopteri; Cichliformes; Cichlidae. The record is from RNAcentral.